Long non-coding RNA from Dreissena polymorpha, 4922 nucleotides. RefSeq lists it as uncharacterized. Lineage: Eukaryota; Metazoa; Mollusca; Bivalvia; Myida; Dreissenidae. The record is from RefSeq and is a predicted model, not a curated record. The transcript has 3 exons.
UUUUUGAUUUCUCAUCAAAUACACAUUCAAUCGUAACUCAAAUCAUGAAGAAUAAACAUUUUCAAUGUGCUUUUCUGUCAUUCUUCGUUUGGUCGUUGAAGGGUUCGGACGUGUUUUUCGAAGCUCUCGACGUCGUGACCUCAUUAUAAUUUGAACUGCGCGGGUAAAGAACGCUCAGUUGCGACUUGGAUAUUGACCAAUACGGACGUGUUUUUAAAGCGCUCUGAAAAAAGUUUUGACUUUUUAUUUUUUUUUACUAUGACAGAAUCUUAGUUGACUGAUGGUCUUUGACAAAGACAGACUUGUUUUUGUGAGCUCUGAAAAAAAUUUGACUUUGAAAUAUUUUUACGAUUAAAAAGUUUCAGUUGACUUUUGAACGUUAACGAAGACGGACGUACUUUCGUGAGCUCUGACUAUUGAUGAAAAGUUUUGAGUUUUACUGACUUGUACUUUGAGAGUAAAAUUGACUUCGCGUUAUAGAAUAGCGACUUGGUACUCAGGUUGUUGAAUGACUGGAUGACUGUAGUGUUAGGUUAUUGUUAUGAGAUAACAACUUGACUUUGACUUGAGUUGUGAAAUAAAAUCAUACUCUUGAACGUUUAGUAUGGACUGACAACGAACUUUUGUGAGCGUUAUAUAUGAAAUGUUUGACUUACAUUAAUUUUUUUGAACGACUUGACUUCAAUUUAAGUUUUGACAUCGGACUGAUCGGACGUGUUUUUUUAAGCCCUGACUGUUGUGAAUAAUUAAAUUUAUGUUGUGGUGUCAAGCGAUUGACUGUCAGUUGAGGUUCAGAUGUCGAGCUGUGCGGACGUGUUCAUCGAGCUGCUGUCUACAAAAAACUGUGCUGUGGUGAGUACUGUAGAUAUUACUUGAUUUUUAGUGUCUAUGAAUGCUGAUGUAUGAUAGCUAUAGCAUGAGCUCAAUGCUAACCAGUAUUAUGAGUUGAUGUAUUGUGGUGAUGCUAAUCGAACUGAUGAUGUAACAUGAUGGUGAACACUUACUGAAUGCAUAAAAUUUAUUGAAUUGCGUUUGUUGAUAUGCACUAUAAUAUGAUAAAUGUAUUGCUUAACAUGUAUAUUUCAUGAUGUUUAAUUUCAGUGGGCUGUGGUGAGUACUGUAGAUUGUAUUGCCUAUGUAUAGAAUUCAAUAAAAGAUUAUGACUGAAAACUGCUUUUGAUUCUUUUUGAACAGUUUUAGGGACUAUAAGUCUAUAACAAAAAUAUGUCGGUUGGCGUUCAUACAGCAAUGUUUUGAGUAGUACAGAAAUGUUUCUACGUUUGUGGUCGCCAGUUGUCUGUGAUGUGUAAAGUGAAAAAUACACGGAGCUUUGAAUACAACAAACAUUUACUGUUUUAACACAGAUUGUGUGCUAUGCAUUUUUCGAUGUAGAUCUUUUUCAGAUUUGACAUGAAAUGUAGACCUGACAUUUGAACAGAGCUGGGAAACGAAAAGGUAAGUUUGUUAAAUUUCACAAUGAACACUUGUGUUUUGACAAAAGAAGAGAUAAAGUGAGUUUUGUCAUCAUCAUGGUUUCUUUCAGAGUAUAACUCGUGAACAGAUGAAAACCUAUUUUUGCUAGAUUUUCAUGUACUCUUUUUUUGGAUGAUAAGUAUGUCAGUAACUCAAAAUCAUACGGCUAGUACAGUAUGGAACAUGAAUGCUUUGUUCAGAUUUUCAGAUGUGUGCUGGCAGUUUAAGUCUGGCAGCUGAAGUGAACAGUCGUGUUUUCUGGAGCUCCAACAAUAUGCUAGAAGGUAAGUAACUAUGUUUGUUUUGCAUUGCAUGUUUUUAUAUGUUUCAGACUUUCAAGCAGAGAUGUCAUGCUGACUGGAGUUGAGCACAGGGCAGUGACAAAGUGAAAGGUAAGUACUUUUGACUGAAUGUUUGUUCUAUGCAUGUUUUGUUUCAAUACAUUUCAGGAGUGCUUAUCCAGUGAUGAUAUGACAGUUGGAGUGAACAGUGGAGCCAAGCAGUCUUGUUUUUGGAGCUACUCAACAAGCCUUGAAGGUAAGUUUAGAAUUUCUCAAUGUUAGUGAAUUGAAGUACUGUCACUUGCUUUUGGACAGUCGAACAGAACAGACGUGGUUGCGAGAGCUCUCAUAUCUGUUGUGUUAAACUGUUUUUAUGAUAUGUUAUGUUUGUUUGUUUGUUUGUGAUGUACUAUUUUUCAGAUGCUGAUGGCAGUGAUGGGUUUUCAAGCUGACCUGAACAGAAAAGCACUCAUAUGGUAAGUACAAAAUAGUUGUUAUAUGGGAUGUUUUGUGCAUGCUUUUAUGUUUCAGGUGUACUUGCUGACAGCGACGAAGACGAAUCAAGAAGAGGAACAUUGUUGAGAAAGUGAUUGGGACUUGAAAACAGGGUAAGUGUAACACUUGUGUUUGUUUAAUUUGUAACAUGCGUGCUUUGCUCUGUUUCAGAUUUCACAUGCAGAAAUUAAACAGGAUUUCAACUGCUGAGACACAAAUCAUCAAAAGUAAGGUAAGUUUUAAUCCAUUGAUUUGAGUUGUACAAUGUGUUCUUUACUUUAUUUCAGAUUCGAGUCACUGGUUUACACAUGGAAGAAGAUUUCCACGUCUGUUACUCAACUCUACAGAAGCAAGGUAAGUCGAUCAAAUUUUUGUUUUCAUUUGUACUGCUGUAAUGUGAUGGUAAACUUAUGCUAUUUUUCAUGUGUGUCAUGUACAGAUGGAUAAUUCAAGUUUGAUCUGUGUUGGUUUAUGUUCAAAAACGUUUUACAUGUAUGUGUGUUUGAAGAUGUUUUGUUUCAGUGGAUGUCCAGAUGGCAAGCAGUACAGACGUGUUUCUUGGAGCUGCCAAACAGUGAGUACAAACGUUUUAUAUUUUUCAGUUGUUUACUCAUAGAAGUCUGUGAAAGAUGAUAACAAGGGUUGAAUCUAUCAGUACUUGUGUCUAAAAAUGCUGAUGUGUGACGGUUUACUGAAAAGGGUAAAUGCUAGCCAGUACUAACACUUGAGCAACCGUGGGAUGUCGAACUAACUGAUGAUGCACUAUGAUGGUGAACACUUACUAUGUGUAUCGAAAUGCUUUUGUUGAUAUUUAUUAUAGAUGAUUUGAUAUUGGUUAACAUUUGUUUGCAUGCUGUUAACAUUUCUAUUUCAUUUCAGGGAGCUGUGGUGAGUAUUGUAGUAUACAUUUGUUUCAAUAAUGUUUGAGUAGUACAAAAAUGUCUUUACUUUUGUGAUCGCCAGUUGUCUGUGAUAUGUAACGUAAACAAAAAACACAGCUAUAAAGCAUACAAUUGUUUCGAAAUUUUAUCAAUGAUUGUAUACUAUGCAUGUUUUGAUUUAGUUCGUUUCAGAUAUGACAUGACAUGAAGAGUUGACAGUCGAACAGAGCUGAGCAAUGCAGAAAGGUAAGUGUGUUUCAUUUUUAGUAUGAACACUUGUAUUUUGUUUUUAUAUGGUAUGUUUUGUGCAUGCUAUGUUUCAGGUGUACUUGUAGUCAGCGACGAAGACGAUUCAAGAAGAGGAACAUUGCUGAGAAAGUGAAUGGGACAUGCAAACAGGGUAAGUGUUACAAUUGUUGGUUUGAUUUUUACCAUGCAUACUUUGCUUUACUCUGUUUCAGAUUUCACAUGCAGAAAUGGUCUCAUAGCAGUGCCAACAGUGAAUAAGGAUUUCAUCUGCUGUGAAACAACUCAACAGAAAGUAGGUAAGCAUUGAAUGAAUGCACUUGAGCUGUACAAUUUGAUGUGAUGCUUUUCUCUGUUUCAGAUUCAAGUUCCUGGUGUAGACAGAGAAAUGUGUUUGAAGAAGGAAUUCUACUACUGUGAUUCAACUCUACAGAAGCAAGGUAAGUAGAAACAAAAUUUUGGUUUAAUUUAACUCAUGUGUUUUGCACUGCAUGCUAUUUUUCAGGUCUCUCGUGCAGUGAUGGAAAAGAAGAAGAUUUCAAGAAAGAAUCACUGCUGCAACUCAGGCCUAUAACAAGACUUACAUUGCUGUGACUGUUCGACAGUGGGUCAAAAAAGAGACGAAUACAGGUUUCAAGAAGAAAAUUGGCUGUUAAAACUCUGCACAAAAUAUGAGGUAAGUAAACAACUCUUUUGGUUUGUUUUGUGCCUUGUUAUGCUUAACUAUUUUUCAGAUUGAAAUGGUGGGUCGUUACAGAGCAGACUUUUGGACUACUGAGAAGUUGAGAAACAGAGAAUGAUUCAAGAUCAGCUAGGUAAGUCUUGAUUAUUGUGCAUUGCUAAAUGUUUUUUUUCAUUCCAGUAUGGCUGUGGUAAGUACACAAACUUUCUAUAAUUUAAUAUUGAACUGUUUUUAUGACCUGUAUUCUGCAUUGUAAAAUGUCUGUUUUUCAUUUCAGUAUCCUGUGGUAAGUACACUAACUUUCUUUAAUUUUCAUAUUGAACUGUUUUGAUGACUUGUAUACUACUAUGCAAUGCCUAAUGUUUUUUUCAUUUCAGUAGCCUGUUGGUAAGUACACUAACUUUCUAUAAUUUCAUAGUGAACUGUUUUGAUGACUUGUAUUCUGCUAUACAAAAUGUGUUUUUUUCAUUUCAGUUGCCUGUGGUAAGUACACUAACUUUCUAUCAUUUCAUAUUGAACUGUUUUGAUGACUUUUAUACUACUAUGCAAUGCUUAAUGUUUUUUUUUCAUUUCAGUAGCCUGUUGGUAAGUACACUAACUUUCUUUAACUUUCAUAUUGAACUGUUUUGAUGACUUGUAUUCUGCUAUACAAAAUGUGUUUUUUUCAUUUCAGUUGCCUGUGGUAAGUACACUAACUUUCUAUCAUUUCAUAUUGAACUGUUUUGAUGACCUGUAUUUUGCAUUGUAAAAUGUGUUUCUUUUUCAUUUCAGUAUGGCUGUGGUAAGUACACUAACUUUCUUUAAUUUUCAUAUUGAACUGUUUUGAUGACUUGUAUUCUGCUAAACAAAAUGUGCUUUUUUCAA